GGUAAGAUAGCUGAAUGUUUAAGCGUUGGGCUGUAGACCUUUUUAUAGAGGUUUAAUUCCUCUUCUUAUCA
Molecule: transfer RNA, 71 nt
Filed under: Mauremys leprosa (Mediterranian turtle)
Lineage: Eukaryota; Metazoa; Chordata; Testudines; Geoemydidae
Description: tRNA-Tyr
Rfam family: tRNA
About the family: Transfer RNA (tRNA) molecules are approximately 80 nucleotides in length. Their secondary structure includes four short double-helical elements and three loops (D, anti-codon, and T loops). Further hydrogen bonds mediate the characteristic L-shaped molecular structure. tRNAs have two regions of fundamental functional importance: the anti-codon, which is responsible for specific mRNA codon recognition, and the 3' end, to which the tRNAs corresponding amino acid is attached (by aminoacyl-tRNA synthetases). tRNAs cope with the degeneracy of the genetic code in two manners: having more than one tRNA (with a specific anti-codon) for a particular amino acid; and 'wobble' base-pairing, i.e. permitting non-standard base-pairing at the 3rd anti-codon position.
Source: RNAcentral